AAACCCAACAAGACACGGCGCAUCAGUAGCAGCAAAUGCCAAAUUGGAGAUUGCCGUUGGUGUGAGGUAAGCGAAAACGCGUCCAAUAAAGUAAGAAGGGGUUAGUGUUGUUGUUCUGGCAAGGGCUUUUCGGUCAAUGAAAAAAACAAAACAAAGAAAAGGAGCAAAAGCUAGGCUAGCCUCCAUUAGAGAUGGUGAGGUCGCGGACGCGGACUCGGUG
Molecule: long non-coding RNA, 220 nt
Filed under: Theobroma cacao (cacao)
Lineage: Eukaryota; Viridiplantae; Streptophyta; Magnoliopsida; Malvales; Malvaceae
Description: long non-coding RNA (TCAC_LNC005133)
Source: RNAcentral